AGUUCACUUGGAUAUUGGCCUGGUUCACUCAGACACCGCCUGAAGAUGUCGUUUUUUUGCAGUCAAAGACUCGAUGGGAGAGGCUUGCUCUCUCCGUUUCUUGGUCUCUGAUUGAGCCGUGCCAAUAUCUCAGUGCUCUUC
RNAcentral lists this microRNA precursor (141 nucleotides) under Eucalyptus grandis. Lineage: Eukaryota; Viridiplantae; Streptophyta; Magnoliopsida; Myrtales; Myrtaceae. The record is from RNAcentral.